AUAUUGGACAAUGGGGGCAACCCUGAUCCAGCCAUGCCGCGUGUGUUAAGAAGGUCCUCGGCUUGUAAACCACCUUAAGUUGGGAGGAAGGGCAGUAUGCUAAUACCCCGAAGCGUUCACGUUACCAACAGAAUAAGCACCGGCUAACUCUGUGCCAGCAGCCGCGGUAAUACAGAGGGUGCACGCGUUAAUCGGAAUUACUGGGCGUAAAGCGCGCGUAGGUGGUUCAGUAAGAUGGGUGUGAAAUCACCGGGCGUAACCUGGGAACUGCUUUCAUAACUGCUGGGCUAGAGUACGGUAGAGGGUAGUGGAAUUUCCUGUGUAGCGGUGAAAUGCGUAGAUAUAGGAAGGAACACCAGUGGCGAAGGCGACUACCUGGACUGAUACUGACACUGAGGUGCGAAAGCGUGGGGAGCAAAC
RNAcentral lists this ribosomal RNA (420 nucleotides) under uncultured bacterium. RNAcentral describes it as "partial 16S ribosomal RNA". It matches the Rfam family "Bacterial small subunit ribosomal RNA", at positions 361 to 773 of the family's 1533-position model. The record is from RNAcentral.